RNAcentral lists this ribosomal RNA (1332 nucleotides) under Mimathyma nycteis. RNAcentral describes it as "Apatura nycteis 16S ribosomal RNA". The record is from RNAcentral. Lineage: Eukaryota; Metazoa; Arthropoda; Insecta; Lepidoptera; Nymphalidae.
GGGGGUAAUUUAAUAAAUAUAAAUUAAUAAAAAAAAUUUUAUUGUUAAAAAUAUUUAAAUGGGGGUUAAAGUAUUUUUAAUAGAAAAAAUUUGAAAAUUUAUAGUUUAAUAGUAUUGUAAAGAAAAAUUUAAAUAAUUGAAAUAUAAAAUUAAAGUAAAAGUAAAUUUAGUUUAUUGUAUCUUGUGUAUCAGAGUUUAUUUAAUAAAAUUUAUAUUUAUAAUAUUCUCGAAUUUAAAAGAGUUAAUUAAUUAUUAAAGUUAAUGUUGAAUAAUUAUUUUAAAUAAUUAAUUGGAAAUGAAAUGUUAAUCGUUUUUAAAUAUAUCUAGUUUUUUUAGAAAAAAAUUUAAUUUUAAAUUUAAAUAGUUUUAUAAUUAAUUAUUUAUUAAUUAUGAAAAUUUAAAAUUUAAUAUUUUAGGGGAUAAGCUUUAAAUUAAAUAUUUAUAAUGAUUUUUUUUUUAUUAAAAUUUUUAAAAUUUAUAUUGUUUAAAAAUUAUAAUUUAUUAUAAAAAAUUUUAAUUUAAUUAAAAUUUAAAUUUGAAAUUUAAAUUUUUAUAAAAAAAUUAUUUUUAAUAACAGAAAAUUAGAAAUAAUGAUAAAAUUAGUAUAUUAUUAUUAAAAUUUAGUAAAUUUAAUUUAAAUUAAAUAAAAGGAAUUCGGCAAAAAUUUAUAUUCACUUGUUUAUCAAAAACAUGUCUUUUUGUUUAAUAAUUUAAAGUCUAAUCUGCCCACUGAUAAAAAUUAAAGGGCUGCAGUAUAUUGACUGUACAAAGGUAGCAUAAUCAUUAGUCUUUUAAUUGAAGACUUGUAUGAAAGAUUUGAUGAAAUAUAAACUGUCUCUAAUUUAUAAAUAAAAUUUAAUAUUUUAGUGAAAAAGCUAAAAUAAAAUUAAAAGACGAGAAGACCCUAUAGAGUUUUAUAUUUAUAUAAAUUUUAAUAAAUUAUAUAAAUAAUUAUUAAAAUUUAAUAAAAUAUUUUAUUGGGGUGAUAAAAAAAUUAAAUAAACUUUUUAUAUUUUUAAACAUAGAUAAGUGAAUAAUUGAUCCAUAAUUUAUGAUUAUAAGAAAAAAUUACCUUAGGGAUAACAGCGUAAUAUUUUUUUUUAGUACAAAUAAAAAAAAAAGUUUGCGACCUCGAUGUUGGAUUAAGAUAAAAAUUAAAUGCAAAAGUUUAAAUUUUUGAUCUGUUCGAUCAUUAAAAUCUUACAUGAUCUGAGUUCAAACCGGUGUAAGCCAGGUUGGUUUCUAUCUUUAAUAAAUUAUAAUGUUUUAGUACGAAAGGAUCAAAUAUUAAAAAUAAUUUUAAUUUAAAUGAAUUUUAUUAAUAUAAUUAUA